GACGUAGGUGGCGAACGUUAUCCGGAAUUAUUGGGCGUAAAGGAUGCGUAGAUGGUGUAGUAAGUUAUCGGUGGCAAAUCGAGGCUCAACCUCGUGGAAGUCGGUAAUACUGCUAUGCUAGAGGAUAGGAGAGGUUAACGGAACUCCCUGUGGAGCGGUGAAAUGCGUAGAUAUAGGGAAGAGCACCAAUCAGGCGAAGGCAGUUAACUAUUCUAUUCCUGACAUUGAGGCAUGAAAGCGUGGGGAGCAAAACGG
RNAcentral lists this ribosomal RNA (255 nucleotides) under uncultured bacterium. Its description in RNAcentral is "partial 16S ribosomal RNA". It matches the Rfam family "Bacterial small subunit ribosomal RNA", at positions 524 to 776 of the family's 1533-position model. The record is from RNAcentral.